Molecule: ribosomal RNA, 464 nt
Filed under: uncultured bacterium
Lineage: Bacteria
Description: partial 16S ribosomal RNA
Rfam family: Bacterial small subunit ribosomal RNA
Source: RNAcentral
CUACGGGCUGCACCAGUGGGGAAUAUUGCACAAUGGGCGCAAGCCUGAUGCAGCCAUGCCGCGUGUAUGAAGAAGGCCUUCGGGUUGUAAAGUACUUUCAGCGGGGAGGAAGGGAGUAAAGUUAAUACCUUUGCUCAUUGACGUUACCCGCAGAAGAAGCACCGGCUAACUCCGUGCCAGCAGCCGCGGUAAUACGGAGGGUGAUAGCGUUGAUCGGAAUUACUGGGCGUAAAGCGCACGCAGGCGGUUUGUUAAGUCAGAUGUGAAAUCCCCGGGCUCAACCUGGGAACUGCAUCUGAUACUGGCAAGCUUGAGUCUCGUAGAGGGGGGUAGAAUUCCAGGUGUAGCGGUGAAAUGCGUAGAGAUCUGGAGGAAUACCGGUGGCGAAGGCGGCCCCCUGGACGAAGACUGACGCUCAGGUGCGAAAGCGUGGGGAGCAAACAGGAUUAGAUACCCGAGUAGUC